RNAcentral lists this ribosomal RNA (550 nucleotides) under uncultured bacterium. Its description in RNAcentral is "bacterial SSU rRNA". It matches the Rfam family "Bacterial small subunit ribosomal RNA", at positions 355 to 896 of the family's 1533-position model. The record is from RNAcentral.
UAGGGAAUCUUCGGCAAUGGACGGAAGUCUGACCGAGCAACGCCGCGUGAGUGAAGAAGGUUUUCGGAUCGUAAAGCUCUGUUGUAAGAGAAGAACGAGUGUGAGAGUGGAAAGUUCACACUGUGACGGUAUCUUACCAGAAAGGGACGGCUAACUACGUGCCAGCAGCCGCGGUAAUACGUAGGUCCCGAGCGUUGUCCGGACUUAUUGGGCGUAAAGCGAGCGCAGGCGGUUAGAUAAGUCUGAAGUUAAAGGCUGUGGCUUAACCAUAGUAGGCUUUGGAAACUGUUUAACUUGAGUGCAAGAGGGGAGAGUGGAAUUCCAUGUGUAGCGGUGAAAUGCGUAGAUAUAUGGAGGAACACCGGUGGCGAAAGCGGCUCUCUGGCUUGUAACUGACGCUGAGGCUCGAAAGCGUGGGGAGCAAACAGGAUUAGAUACCCUGGUAGUCCACGCUGUAAACGAUGAGUGCUAGGUGUUAGACCCUUUCCGGGGUUUAGUGCCGUAGCUAACGCAUUAAGCACUCCGCCUGGGGAGUACGACCGCAAGGUUG